Pistacia vera is the source of this 163-nucleotide long non-coding RNA. RefSeq lists it as uncharacterized. The record is from RefSeq and is a predicted model, not a curated record. The transcript is spliced from 3 exons. NCBI's taxonomy places the organism in Eukaryota, Viridiplantae, Streptophyta, Magnoliopsida, Sapindales, Anacardiaceae.
AAAUUACUUAUUUUGGUGUUUUUGGUCGAGGUUGAGGGUGUGCCUGCACUAAUUCACCAGACGGAAGUGUCAUGGGAUGCCAGUUUGGACCCUGCUUCAUAUUUCAAAAUUGGUCAGGUUGUGGAGGCAAAAUUUCCCCAAUUGGAUUUUGCACUUGAACGCA